Hylaeus volcanicus is the source of this 2734-nucleotide long non-coding RNA. RefSeq lists it as uncharacterized. NCBI's taxonomy places the organism in Eukaryota, Metazoa, Arthropoda, Insecta, Hymenoptera, Colletidae. The record is from RefSeq and is a predicted model, not a curated record. The transcript is spliced from 3 exons.
AUAAUGGCUAUUCGAAAAAGUUCGUGGCGUUUUGCCGCUAGAUGGAUUUAAUAUGUAUAUCUUUGUUCGCACAUAACCUAUUGGGACACGCUAAAUGCCAUUUGAAAGGAUAGAAGGAACAGGUAUUAAAUUUCUUUAUUGAUUUAACAGUGAUAACAUUUUGAACAUGGAGAUAAAUAAUGAGAAAAUUUGCUACAUUUUACAGUAUGUCACUUCGAUCAAGGCGAAAACAGGUAUCAAGAAAUUUGAUUCCAAUAGGUUAUGUGUAAACAAAGAUAUACAAUGUUAAAUGCCCUCUGGGACUGUACCCGAGCUAGAGGGGGGCCAGCGGGGCCCAAGAGAUGAGAAGUAAGAGAUACUGCAAACAGUGUUAAAAUAAUGCAGGAGUCGUGUAAAACGAUGAUAAGAAGAAUGGAAAUAAGCUAGUAAUAAGUGUUGGAAUGGGUAAACGGUGUUUCAUUUCCUUUGACCUUCGGUUGAAAAUUGACCGUCUCUGUAAAUGUCGUCGCGUCAACUAUGAUGGCGCCAGAUUCUACGUUCAGAUAAAUACUUUGGUACUUGGACGAUAUUCGCUGCAAACGAAAUUAGUCGCAGGUUCGAAGAUUGUACGGGUGUUUAUUUCUCUCUGAAUCGCGUCCCGAAAAGGCAAGGACUUUCUAUCGAACUGUGUCGCGAGCUCUGGAAAGGAUAAGAACCGCUGAUCCAAGAUUAAAAGGAGUACAAGACAACUCGAGGGCGACGGAUGGGAACAAAUCCAGGGUGAAAGAGAACUCGGUCUGUAAAGGCGGUGGCUGCGUGGGAUGUACAGCUCGAUAAUCGUUGAGCAGUCAUGGGCGAGAAUCAAACGCGUGUUCCGCCUGUUGUUUGCUCGUUCGUUACCCAAGAAUCCGUCGACUUCCAAGGUCACCGCCAGGAAGAAGCAUCGCGAAUGGUUAGCCGCGAUUAAUUAUAAACGUAUGACCAUUCUUUGCAAUUAAUCUCUUGGUAUCCAUUCUAUCCAUUGUAAAGCUUGUUUUCCCUAGGUUUUUUUCAAAUAAAACUUUAUUCGUUCCCGGCCCGGCUAUGAAGAAGAUCCGGCUUGAUCCAGCUCGUAGGCCACGAGGGCUAUGAAAUCCUGGAGAAGCAUUUCGUUCCAGGUGCAACGAAGAGUAUCGGAAAUGAUGAUAGGAAAUCGAUGGCGACUUUGAAUUUUCAAUGAACGCAUCCGCUCGACGGGAAAAGAGAUAUCGGAGGAACGAUUGCCACUCGAGGCGAAUCCAUCGUAGCGACUUUUUUCUUUUCUCUUCUUGUUCGCUAAGCGAAAAGAAUUCGUAGAUGAUAGGUUACCUUUCCAUUUCCAAGGAACUCUGGGAAAAUGUAUUCGACUUGGCGAGAAUUGUUCACGUGCACCGCGUUAUUAUCUUCAACGAAGAAACACAAUGUUUAUCGAACGAGUAACGAUUCGGAGCAUGAUUUACGCGGAAGCAAGAAGUAAAAUAGUAGAUUCGAGUUUGCUUCUUUCGCGAACGCGUUGAUCGAUAAUCGCGCGUUGCACGCACGUAGACCAACUACGAAAGUUCAGGAUUAAUUUUUAAGAUAAUUUCGCAUGACAGGGAACGUUUGCCCGGACGAUCAAUCUUUUCGUUGAGAAAAAAAGAAAAUUACCAUACGCGUUGUAUAUAGUUUUUUUCGGAGAGGGUCGUUUCCAAACCGUUCUGCCGCUUUUGAAAAAUCCCCAUCCAAGGAUGGGAAACAUGCUGACCAGAAAAAUGGACUGCUCGCGAAAACAUCAAUCACCGCGGGGAUAAAAGCGUCUCCCUGCGUUGGCAUUUUUAAAGGACGGAUCUAAGCGCGACGAGAUCCCCCGUCCGUUAUACAUUUCUUAGACUUUAAUUUAUUCGGUUUACGUUUCCGACUCGUCCCACUUUCAUACCGCCAGCUGCACUUUCGUAUCAAACAUUCCAUAAACUAUUUAUAGUUGCCUUUGAACGCAAUUUCGAUCGAAAGCGAAACUCAACUUUCGUCUCGAACCUUUUCCCGACGAAGAUGUUCGAGAUUCUCUUGUCCUUUAUUUUGCCCGUCUUUGAAGCGUACAAGGUCCACGUUUUACACUUUACGCUACGAGUGUAGAAAUGUUUUUCUUAAAUCGAAAAGAUACUUUUAUCGUCAAUGAAACUUGCGCGCCUAUUAACUCUUUGCACUCGAGAGGUAACUGUCAGUCACCAUUAGGUUUCACGCAGCAGGUCUACGAUACGUAAUGUUUCUUUAGGUUUAAUUUCUAUAAAAUGAUUGUCGACGAGGUAAAGGUGACCUUAUUCUCAAAUCUAGAUAGCUUACUGUUAGAAUUCAUAGCAAUAGAAUGCUAAGAAACAUCUCGAGUUGCUGGCAGAUACCAGAAAAAAAGGCCUCGAGUGUAAAUGUUUAACACGUUCACGCCGGCGUGUUCCACCGGUGGCUCGAGCUCGCGUGUCUAUCAGACGGCGUGCACCGUUCCACCGAACCCCGAGAAACAAAAAUAACAGCGCCGGCGUGAAUGUGUUAAACAUCAUACGAAGUCUACCGCAGAGAACACUACUUACUCGUGUAAAUAGUAGAAAUCGGUGUUUACAUAAAGUAAGGGGACGCGUUCUAAAAGCUCUUUUGUCUUAUUCUAGAUUCCGAGGACGUUCGAGGAUCUAUAAAGCGAUUCCGAGACUCCCGUACGGAUCCAGUGGGCAAGUUCUUUAUUCCCACUGACGAAACGAACGUGAAUUGU